This 109-nucleotide ribosomal RNA is filed under the name Planctomycetota bacterium. The record is from RNAcentral. Lineage: Bacteria; Pseudomonadati; Planctomycetota.
GCGGGUGCCUAAAGCAAAGAGGCCACACCCGUUCCCAUUCCGAACACGGUAGUUAAGCUCUUUGCACCGAUGGUAUUGGUUAACGCUGAGAGAGUAGGUAGCGCCCGCU